RNAcentral lists this ribosomal RNA (223 nucleotides) under Pseudomonas aeruginosa. RNAcentral's name for it is "partial 16S ribosomal RNA". It matches the Rfam family "Bacterial small subunit ribosomal RNA", at positions 1 to 226 of the family's 1533-position model. The record is from RNAcentral. Lineage: Bacteria; Pseudomonadati; Pseudomonadota; Gammaproteobacteria; Pseudomonadales; Pseudomonadaceae.
GAACUGAAGAGUUUGAUCAUGGCUCAGAUUGAACGCUGGCGGCAGGCCUAACACAUGCAAGUCGAGCGGAUGAAAGGAGCUUGCUCCUGGAUUCAGCGGCGGACGGGUGAGUAAUGCCUAGGAAUCUGCCUGGUAGUGGGGGAUAACGUCCGGAAACGGGCGCUAAUACCGCAUACGUCCUGAGGGAGAAAGUGGGGGAUCUUCGGACCUCACGCUAUCAGAU